Molecule: long non-coding RNA, 21092 nt
Filed under: Cucumis sativus (cucumber)
Lineage: Eukaryota; Viridiplantae; Streptophyta; Magnoliopsida; Cucurbitales; Cucurbitaceae
Description: long non-coding RNA (CSAT_LNC000784)
Source: RNAcentral
AAUAUCUAAUGCGUUCUCCGACCGGAGAAGUCAUUUUUGGGGGAGAGACUAUGCGUUUUUGGGAUCUGCGUGCUCCGUGGUUAGAACCACUAAGGGGUCCUAAUGGUUUGGACUUGAGUAGACUGAAAAAAGACAUCCAACCUUGGCAAGAACGACGUUCCGCGGAAUAUAUGACCCAUGCUCCUUUAUGUUGUGUAAAUUGUUUGUAAUUAGUUAAGGGAUUUAGAUAAGAGGAUUUAUGGAAAUAGUUUGAAAAUGAAGAGAUUUUAUAAGUUAAUCCUAAUUAAGUUAACAUGUGAGAUGAUGAGGCCACGACAAGAUCAAUUAUAAUAUUGCAAAUUGCCACUUGGCAAAUUCUUAUUGAAUAAGUAGCCCCCACAUGUAGGCAAAAGAGGCAGCAUAUUAUGUUCAUCAACCCAUUAAGAAAGCCAAAUUUUCAUUGAUAACGACUAUCAAACAAAUUCCAAUGGAUUUUCUCUCUUCUUUCUUUCUUCUCUUGCUGGCUUUCCUUUUACUUCAACAACUCAGAACCCGCCGGAGAAAUCUGCCUCCCAGCCCACCCUCCUUUCCGAUUAUUGGUCAUCUCCAUCUCCUACAACGCCCAACCCACCGGAACUUCCAAAACAUCGCUGCCAAAUACGGACCCAUUUUCACUCUCCGAUUCGGAUCUCACCUUGCUGUCAUAGUCUCUUCACUCCAAAUAGCCCAAGAAUGCUUCACCAAACACGAUCUCAUAUUCGCCAACCGCCCGCGUUUGCUGAGCGGAAAAUACCUCGGCUACAGCUGGACCACCAUGGCUGCCGCCUCUUACGGCGACCAUUGGCGGAACCUCCGCCGCCUCGCCGCCAUGGAGAUCUUCUCCCCGACGCGCCUCAACGCGUCUCUCGCCUUCCGGAAGGAUGAAAUCCAGCGAUUGUUGGUCAAACUCCAUUCGGAAUCAUUCGCCAAGGUGGAGUUGACACCCAUGUUUUCGGAACUGAGUUUCAACAUCGUGAUGAGGGUCGUGGCCGGAAAGAGGUACUACGGGGAGAAGGUUUCCGAUGAUGCGGAAGCGAGGAAGUUCAGAGAGCUUAUGGAUGAGGUUUCGCGUCAGGGAGGAACUUCGCAGUGGGUGGAUUUCAUGCCGAUUAUGAAAUGGAUUGGGUUUGGUGGAUAUGAGAAGAUUUUGGCCAAAUCGGCAAUAUGGGCCGAUCGAUUUGUCCAGGAAUUGGUUGAUGAACAUCGGAAUAAGAAAGUAUUGGGAAGAGAAGAACAGAGUUCUCUGCUUCAUCGGCUUCUGGAAUUACAGCUCUCGCAACCGGAAUAUUACACCGAUCAGAUCAUCAAAGGGCUUGUUCUGGUUAGUAAUCCAACCUCUUCUUGUUUAAUCUAAUCGGAUUUUGCUUUUCAGUGUGGGAGACUGAAAUAGAGUUGAUCUAACUUGAAUAUUGUUAAGCAAAUGGAGAACGGAAGAGUUUGGUUGAUUUCACUUACUUUAUGAACUAAUCAAAAGUAAAAAUGCUCACUUUUAAUCUUUCUUCUUUCCUGGACGAACUUCCGAAACUCUGUCUUUUUGUCCUCUUUCCUUCUUCUGUUUCUUCUCCAACGCAACCAACUUUGGUAAAACUGUUAUUUUCUUCCCUUUUUUUCAUUCUCUUUUCUUCUUCUCCGGUGUGACCAACUUUAUCGCAAACCACACACCACAACUACGGGUGUGAGAGAGGAGUGGAGAGUGAUCUGUGACUGAGGAAAGGGAGAGAGAGCGAAAGAAAGAAUGAGAAAGAGGUAGAUGAGCCUUUCAUGGGCUGAGUAUAUUUUGUUAAUUUCACCAAAGUCCCUUCCCAUCAAGUUUCUCCGCUGCUAAGUUGUUUUGCUCUCAAUAAUUUCAAUAACUAUACUUUAUUUCUUUCUAAUUGGAAUAUUGCACUUCAUUUACUAUGAAAAGUUCACACAAUUUCAUCAUAAAUUUAUUUUAAACAGAUUCUAUUUUGUAUAAAAAUGAGUUUUUCUUACCGACGGCCCAAAAUGUCGGAAACAAAGUUUCAGAAAGGGAGCGGAUUCCGUUUUAGGCCAAAUAUUGUAUUAAAUGGACGAUUAUCUCUAUAGCAAUCGUUUUAAACUUUUAUAAAUAAGGAUUGAGUCAUCAAGAGGAACCCAUUUUAAUAUUAAAAAGAACUAAAAUGGACAUUUCAAAAUUGAGGAACUAGAAUGUAUAGAAGUUAAAAAGUACAAACGAAAAUAAAAAAAUUUGAAAAGACAAAAUUGAACCAAAGCAAAACACAAUGUUUUAUCCAAGUCUUACUAUUUUGUGCUGCUUUGGUUUUCAAGUAUUAUAUUAAAAAAGACGUUGUUGUGUAGGUUUUGUUGCGUGCGGGAAUAGACACGUCAUCUGUGACCUUGGACUGGGCAAUGACUGAACUACUCAACCAUCCGGAGGUAUUAGCCAAAGCCAAAGCUGAGAUAGACACCAAGAUCGGUCAAGAUCGUACCGUUGAGGAAACAGAUGUCGCCAACCUCAACUACCUUCAAGCCAUUAUUUCUGAAACCUUUCGUUUGCACCCUCCAGCCCCGAUGCUUCUCACACACUAUUCCUCUGACGACUGCGUUGUCGCAGGCUACAACAUUCCACGUGGGACGAUGUUGUUGGUCAAUGCUUCAGCAAUUCACAGAGACCCGAAGUCGUGGGAUGACCCAACUAGUUUUCGACCAGAGAGAUUCUUGGGAGCAGGGAAUGAGUUACAGACCAACAAACUCAUUCCUUUUGGAGUUGGAAGGAGGGCUUGUCCUGGAGAAAUUAUGGGUUUACGUGUUGUAGGAUUGACUUUGGGUCUAUUGAUUCAAUGCUAUGAGUGGAAAAAACAUGGAUAUGAUAACGUAGACACGACUGAAUAUGGAGGUAUCACCAUUCUCAAAGUGAAGCCUGUGGAGACCAUGUGUAAACCUCGUCCAGUUAUGGCAAAACUUCUAUCAAAUAGUUUGGACUAAGUCUUACAAGCGUGUGGUUACAGCCUUUGUUAUAUUUAGAGCUUGAAUAAAUAAUGUGAUUUGAAUGUUCUCAAGCUUUUAUGUAUAUAAUAUAUAAUCAGAACUUAAAUAUAUAAAUCUACCUUCAGCAAACAGUAAAAAUAAAAAAAUAAUGUUCUCAAGCUUUUAUAUAUUUAUAUUUGUGUAUUAUAUGCAUACACAUUAAAAACUUUAAAUAUCUCCUUAAAAACUUUUAUCUAAAAUUAUCUAUCAAAUCAAUGUUCUACAAUAAUUAAAAAAUAGCCUAAAAUGAUUUAAAGAAAAAAACGUGAAAUAUAAAAACUAAAAUAAAAUAGCACUAAACCAAAAACCUUUCACAAUCAAAUUACCUUCCAGAAACCUUUACACAAAGGUAGAAAAUAUGUCCAUUUCAAUUUAGAUUUCAAUAUGAAAUCCAGUAAGAACUAAACGGCCAAUGCUAGUUCAAUUCAAACGACAACAAUACAGCAAAUUUGUGUCUACAUAUUACAAACUAUCCUUGAACAUUAAAGCUCGAAAUCGAGUUCGUUUUGUAUGUCAAGUGUAUACAAAAUCAUCAGCCAUAUUAUAUCAUUUCUGCAUGGUUAGAGAGAGGAACCUUCGCUUCGAUUUGGCUUUUGAGAUCUGAAGAUGGAACUGCGAUCAUCAAAUUUUGGGAGCCAGUCGUUAGUUGCAGGAUUGCCUUUGUAGCCACCAUGAAGAUGAACCCUCCCAUUUGCAACAUCAUUAAUAAACUCUUGAGUUUUUUUCUGAUUAUGGACUCCAUUUUCUCCUCCUUCAUUUCCUACUUGUAUGAACCCACUCCCUGUCUACUCCCUCCAAAAUCGUCACCAAAAUCAAUAAUAAUAACAAAGAAUUAACUCUCAUAGUUAUUAAGAUUUACCUUUUUAUAAAAUCAAACGUUUUUACAAUAAAGUUGAUGAAAACUUUUCGAUGAAGAACUUAGGACUUGGGACUUCUUGGGAAGACUGAAAUGUAAGAGGUUAAUCGUAAUGUUGACAAAAGAAGGAGACACUAAGUUUCUUUAGAAAAUUUACAAAGAAUGAACACUUUUGAAAAGAAUAUUUUGUUUACUCUAACACUCUGUUCACUUUCACUCAAAGUUUAGUAACUCUCUCUCUCUUCAUCUCCUUGUUACUUUGCUUGCUUACGUUUUUUGGUUCACAAAGGAGGAUCACACCUUCUUUUUAUAGAAAUGAAAUAUUUGGAGCCCAAGCUCUAAAGGAAUUCAUAAUUCUAUUGAAUCCCUUAACCUAAAUAAGAUCUAUUAUAUUUCACACUUUUUCUUUUAGAUAUUUAUUUACAUCUUUCAACAUAAUUUUAGAAAUUUAAUCUACCCAUUUAAUAUUUAUGUUUAGAUUGAUAGUCUUUAAUUCUUACACUCCUUUCUCACCACUUUUCAAUAAUCCUCAAUACGUUCUAUUAGUAAGAAUGAUUUUUCCAAACAUCUCCGAACCUUAAUGAUAAGAUAUUGUUCAACGUGGUCAUAUACAUCCCCAGCUUUACUUUUGUUUUCCUCCAAAAUAGAUAGAUUGUCCCACCUAAUAUAUUAUGAUCAUCCUCUUAUCUGAGCGACGUGAGAUUUUGGUAGUAUUCCCUAACCCAUUCCAACCUCCCAAACAGGUCUUUGAUGGUAAUAGGUUUCACAGCUAGCAUAUCAGAUAUAAUCUAAUUUAAACUUAAAACAAAUCACCAUCCUCAAUAAACACCAAAAAAAAAAAAAAAAAAAAAAAAAAUGCGGAAGAGAAAGAGAAACCUUAUGAUGACGUUUUUCAAUCGAAUCCAACUCCUUGUAAUAUUCUGUCUCCACAUAGUCCUCCUGCACCAAACAAUCCCCAACUCCCAAGCGAAAAGCCUGUAAAAAUUCUUCAAAAGUUCAUGCCCAGAUCACGAUUCUCGAAGAAAAAACCAAAUGUAACGAAUGGAGGAAUAGUACAUGAGAUUUCGACUGGAGAUUUCUGAGCUUAUCAAGCUCCGGAAUUGCCUUUUUUGAGGUGAAUCCAGAUGGGUAUUGAGUCAAGGGAUCGGAUUCGCUCCGGCUCGGUUUCAUCGGCCGCUUGGGGGCGAUGGAAUCAAACUGGGCUCUGAUGUGAUCAGUGAUUCGCAUCUGUUCCUCGUUGUCCAACACGACGUCGCUCCGGCUUGGCUUGGUCGCAGUGCACCGCGGCGCCGCCAUGGAGUUGGUUCUGGUCUAGUUUGGUUGUUGAAUUUGAUUGUGUUUGGCGGUGGUUUAAAUAAUAUUAUAUAGUGGGGACAAAAGCCAUGGACGUCCAAAGUUUGAAAGUGAGUGUUUCUGUCUUGGAUUUGGAUAGGAAUGCGAGAUUUUGAUGGGCUUCCCAUAAAACCAAUAAAAAUAAUUGAGACAGAAUAGAAGAAACUACGCUUUUUUUUUCUCCAAUAAUUUCUUAAUGAGUUGUAUCUAUUUGUUGUAGUUUGAAAUGUGUUCAGAUUUACUUAGGAAUGUUAUAUAAUGGAUGGUGAUAUAUUAUAAUAUAAAUUUUAUUAUAUAAAUUUAAUUUUAGAUAGAGUUCAAAAUAACUAAUUUAAUGAGUUCUUAAAUUCAUAUUAUUAAAAAGAUAAGUUAAAAUUUAAUGAGUAUAUGUCAUACAUUAAAACUAUAGGUUAAUUUGAGAAAUUUAUAUAUGAAUAUGACUCAAAUUUGGUUUAAAUUAAAUAUAAGAUAUUUAGGAGAAUUAAUUAAUAGUUUUAGUUUAAUUCUAUUUAUUUAAUUUAAUUAACUAAAUUAAAAACGAGAGAUAUUCAUGUAAAUAAAUUAUUGAUUAAAUCUAAUUUAAUUAUUUGAUUAUUUAUUUAUUUAUUGGAUAGUUCACAUAAAUGUAACGAAAACCUAAAAUUAUUUAUGGUCCGUGUAACAGAAAGUAAAAACCCAUGAAGUUACCAUUGUCUUUUCGUAAAUUCCAAAUUUGUCCUUGAAUAUUGUAGAUGAUUCGUCAGUUCUUUUUUUCUUCUUCUUUAUGAUUUAUUCAUCUUCUUUGCGAUUUCUUCAUCUUCUCGUCCAAAUUUUCUUUCUUCUAUUUUUAAACAAUUUAUUUUUCGAUUUAAAUCUUCUAUUUCAUCUUCAUCAUUUUCGACAAGAUUCAUUAAAGCUAUUUCAUAAUUGUUUCAAUAUUCUUCUUCAUCUUAUCAUAUUUGAGAAUAUCAAGAUCGUUUACCUAUCUUUUUAAAUUAUCAACACAAUCGUUUACCAUGGUCAAAAUGAUCGUUUAAAUUUAAUUUAGGGUUGUUUAAUAAGAAAUUUUAGACCAAUCACAACUUGCCACGUCAUUUACCAAAUUAAUGAUGAAAAACAUAUAUAAUUGAAUUUGAGAAUAAUUAAAAGUUGACAUGUGUCCCAAAUUGAAAUUGAAGACAUAAAUUGGUCAAUUAUGAUGAUGUUACGUGUUUUUAUCAUGAUCAUUGGAUCAAGUUAAUUAAGUAUUAUUUAUUUGGGUUAAAAUUCAAUUGAGCCAAAAAAACUAAGCUUAAUUUAACUUAAAUAAUAAAUAUGAUUCAAAUCCACGUAGUUGAGCCCAUGAGUCUUGUUUAUGCAUGAACUAACAAAGCUUAAUCCCAUAAAGCUCAUCAGAGAACUCUAUAAAGAGAGGAGUUCUCUUCAUAUGCGGGGACAUAAUAAAUAUUUACUACAAAAGGUCAGAGAAUUCUUCCAAAAACCACAAUACUCCUUAACUCUUAAAGUCAACCACCCUUGAAAUUGAAAUAUUUUUUAACAUCACAUGUUCCGCUUCCUGAAAUUAAGCGUAAACAUUCAUCAGAAAGAGAAUCAAAGGAUUAAAUACUAGAUAACGAAUUGCAUCGUAUCAUAAUCCAUAUCAACCCAAGUUCAACUCCACGAAUUAAAUUUCUCUUCAAAUCGCGUAUAAACAAAGAUUUUUUUGUUAAUCAAGAGCAAUUAGAGUAAAAUUUUUAUCUGAGUUUUUAUUGUGCAUGUCUAAUUUUCUAUCACAUCAAACUCACAAUAAGCUUUUUUUUAUGUACUAGAAAAUUGAAAUAUAAUGACACCAAAUAUGUGUUACCAACAGUUGCCAUGACACAUAUUUUGUGUCUUUGAAACCCUUGUAAAGAUAGGACAUUUAAUUACACAUCACUAAAGCGUCGUAUAUUACUUAAACAACAUUUGAUUUGAUGUCAAUAAUCAAUUUCUCUUGCUAUUUACCAUCUGUCACUAUUAAGUGGUAAUUAGAUAAUUCUACAUUUUUUCUGGUGAAAAAAAAUCCAAUUUCAAGUUGUCAUGCUUUCGUUUCGGGAUAAUCGGGCUGCCCUCUAGCCUUUCUAUUCCACCGUUUCUUGUAAUCACUUUUUAUUAUUAAUGAAGUGGGGCUAAUGCUGAUGCUUUGAAAUGUCCUCCAUGUGGAGAUAUCCUUGCAUCAGCUAUCCCAAACUAUCCUUAUAAAAGACAAAAAAGUUGUGGUCAGAUGUGUUUAAUGUAAUAAAUCCAACUGCGGCAACAAUGAGGAUGGGUUGUGUGAUGGUGGCUGAUGGAAAGAGUGACAGUAGUAAGGGAAAGAAAGGAAACAAAAAAGACUCGCGAAUUUGAUGAAGAUCUAAAAUUAGCGGUGGAAGAACGAACGAUCGGCAAAUUCAUUGAUCUUGGCCGGUGGAUGGGGCGGCUUCCAUGCCAAAAGGUGGGGAAAUGGGAUGGUGAGGCCUAUUUUGGGAGAUGGUGAACUUUUAACUUGGGGUUUAUUUUACUUACUCUAUUUUGAUUUAAUGAAAAGAUAAAUUAAUGAUAAUUAAUAGGUAAACAAUGACGUUUAAAAAUUUUAGUUGUUUAGUGACAGUUAAAAAAUGUCAAGAAAAAGCAUGAAUCCCAAAGUUCCAUAUUUUCAUGCAAAAAAAGUACGCCUUUUUUUUUUAUUAAUGACACAUAUUCCCCCGAAACCUGUUUCCAUUAUUGAAGUUCCAAAUUGUAGUAGUGAUGGUCCACCUUCAGCACUAGUUGACGUUUACCAACAUUCUUAUGGUAAACCUCUCACUAACUCCUCACAAGGUAGGAUAGUAUCGACAAUACUUCGACAUUUGACAAAGGCAAACUGAUUUAGACUAAUCAAAUAAUUAAGGAUCGGAACUUGCACAUAAAACCAAUUCACAAUAAUCUUCCUAAUGCACUUAUACAAAACAUUACAACAAGAAAUUGGCCUCAAGUCUCCAAGGAUCUAUAGGCCACUACAUUUAGAAACCAUUGUGAUUAAUAUAUAUCACAUUUAUACUUAGGGGAAAGGGAAAAAAAAGUACAAAAACAUUCAAGACCACAUCACAAAAUUCCUGCCCAACACGGCAUUUCAAGCAGAUAUUCAUAGAAACUCAAAAAGUAACCAUCAGGACUAGUAAUCUUCCUACUCUCCAUCGAAAAUAUAAUAGACACCCAAACCUCAUAAUUAGUAAUGGGCUGACACAAAACCUUACUAUACCCCUUAGGCUAAGUGAAGUCUACAAUAUCUAAUAUCCCUAUAAUAAUCCAAUAUAAAAUAAAGUUGGAAUUAAUAUAAUCUCUCUUUUAAAAAAAAACAAUCAACUGAUAUGAUAUGUAGUUAAAUUUAAAGUUUGGAAUUGAGUAAUCUCUCCAUUUAAAUAAUUUUAAUGAGGUGGCAUACACUUUGAUAAUAUUCGAUCGUUUAAUUAAUUUAUGAUUGAACAUUCGUACUAAUUAUCAUUUGUUAUCCUCCAUCAAUUUUGUCACGUUGUUUGUUAAGUAUAAUAGAGUGUGUGCAUUCGAGAAUUAGACCCUCAUAAUUAAUCGUUAGGUCAUAUAGAAUAUCAAAAUCGAGUGUUAUGAUUGCUUGACAUCAAAUUUGUCAUUUAUUAAUCAGAAAGGAUAUAAUUAUGGAAAAAACUUCAAAAGUAUAAGGAACUUAAUACUGAGGAUUUUAAAAGAAAUGUUAUAGAUUGGAAUAAGAAAGUUGGUAUAAUCAUUGAGCGAUCGUUAAUUAUUCAAAGUUUUGAAAAACGCAAAGACUUGAUUUUUCCCAUUCUUUAAAAUUGAAGACAUGCUUUCCAAUAACUUCAUUGAACUUGACCUGUGCAUUGGUCACUUGUGGGUCAACCUAUAAAAGCUACAACCAACAUUGCAUACCUUGAAGAUAAGAGUGGAAAGAGAAAAUACCUCAAAAGUUUUGUUUGGUAGUACAGUGAUAUUCAAUAAAAUAAGCCCUCACCUUUAACUUUCAAAAAAGAUUGAACUUUGAUAUGAUAUACAUUUUCACAAAGCCCACUUAUAGAAUGGAACCCCCUAAAUUUCAAUUAUUAACUUAUGGUGGAAGUGAGUUAAACUAAGUAGAAAAACCCAUAAACAAUUACUAAAGAGGUAAAUAAGAUCUGUUUAUGGACUUACAACUUGGUUCAAUUUCUUAUGAUUAUUUUGCUUUCAAUCUAACAUUUAAAAAAAAAAAACUAUAGUAAAUUUAACACUCUCCUAACACAUACAAAUUUGUAAAAUACCCAAAAGAAAAAAGUACACAUAAAUAUUAAUUGAAGGACGUGAUACAUUGAAAAGAUUAGAACACAUAAGACCUUUUGGUUUAAUGCUAUGUUAAAUUAUAUUGCUUAUAAAUUCAAAACCUCAAGUAGAUGAGUUUGGUUAAACGCUUGUAAGACUUAGUCCAAACUUAGUCCAAACCUAAAUAUAACAAAGGCUGUAACCACACGCUUGUAAGACUUAGUCCAAACUAUUUGAUAGAAGUUUUGCCAUAACUGGACGAGGUUUACACAUAACCCAAUAUAACCAUUAAAAAUUAAAAUAAUAACUAAAAUGGAAAACACAUACCUAAAAGCUUUAUUACCCUAUACCUCCCCCUAAAAAAUAAAAUAAAAUAAAAGGAAAUUAAGGGAAAAACUUUAAUCAUUCCCAUGCUUUUUUAUCCUUCCCUAUUGCGUAUUCUUUUGAAAAGCAAACUAAGCCAAAAUUUUCUUCUCUAAUCAAUAAUGGCAAUAAUGCUCUUCCUCUCCCACCUCCUUCCUCUCCUACUUCUUCAAUUCUCUUCCUCUUUAGCUUACUCUCCUCCAAAUAAGUAUUUUCUCAACUGUGGAUCGGAAUCCGACACAGAACUCAUAAACAAGAGACGGUUUGUUGGUGAUGCCAAACCCAAUGAUUGGUCAAUCUACCCCGGGAAAAGCAAAAUAGUUCAGAACACCACCAUCCCAAAAUCCAUAAAUGAAAUAUACCAAACAGCAAGAGUUUACAAUAAGGCAACAUGGUAUGUGUUUCACAACAUCACUCCAAAUGGAACGUAUGUGGUUCGUCUCCAUUUCUUCCCAACUUUACCUCAAAUUAUGUCUCAAGCUCGGUUUAAUGUCUCAGUCAGUUGUGGGUUUGUAUUGCUAUCAAAUUUCUCAGUUGAAAACGAUUUGAAGGCAGCAGUUGUUAAGGAGUUCGCUUUCGCAGUUAACGACGGGCCAUUUGGCAUCGGAUUCUCCCCUAUGGAAUCGUCUCUGGCUUUUGUUAAUGCCAUUGAACUCUUUCUUGCCCCUGGGGACUUCAAACCAGAUUCAGUUUUCCCUAUUUCUCCAGAAGUAAGAAGAAUGAACACUAUGUAUACGUUGACUUUCGAUGCAUGGAAUGCUGUAUACAGGUGCUAAAUCUCACUUCAUCUCUAAUUAUUUUAUGGUAAUUUUUCAAUCUCUGUUUAAUUUUCCAAUACCCAUCUAAUUUUGAUAUUAAAUCUAAAGUACAAAUUAUAUAGAAAAGGUUACUUUUUAAGACAUUGCUGAAUAAAGUAUGUACAUCUUCAAAGUUUUCCUCAACUUAAAUAUAUAUAAUUUUUUACUUUGUCCUAUUUAGUAGACGAAACCUCAAUUAUUAUUUUAGUUAAUUAAGAUGUUAAAAGCUUUCUUAUUUUUAUAGAUGGGAUUAAGCUUUCAAAAAAAUUAUAGAGAUUUUUUCAAAUAUAGUACAAUGAACCAAAAUAUUUGAAUAGAAUCUAAAAUUUUGUAAUAUUUUGACAGUCAUUUAUAAUAAUUAAAAAAAUAUAUGUAUAUUUAUUUUACUUUAUUUCAAAAUUUUGAAGCACUUACAAUUCAAUAGUCAAUAUAUAACUGUCUCUCGUAGUAACCAUUGAUACUUUUGUUUACCUCUAGGAUGGAAAUGUUAUUUUGACAAACUACUAGAGCAUGGUAUUAAAUCACUUUUAAAUCUUAAAAGUUAAGUUGUACUGACCUUGUGAAGGACAGGGUGUGGAUGGGUAGAGGGAUGAUCACUCCAGAGAAUGACACAUUAUGGAGAACUUGGCUCCCAGAUUCUGAAUUCAUGCCUCUUCAAUCCUCUGCCAGAACUGUCACCUACAAUCAAAGAUUAAAUUACGAUAUACAAGAAACAAUUUACGUAGCCCCAGUCUUCGUUUACAAUAAUGCAAAGGUAUUGGAUAUGAACACCAGCACUAGCUCAGGAGAUUCAACUCUAACUUGGAUUUUUAAUGUGAAGAAGAAAUCCAAGUAUUUUCUUCGCUUACUCUGGUGCGACAUCAUUACCCCACAUUCAACACCUUUCUAUUUUAAUAUAUUCUUUGAUAUCAAUCAAACUGACCUCCGACCCACCGAUGUUACCCAAAACAAUGUGUUCGCAUUGCCAUUUUGGUACGAGUUUCUCAUCGUUACUGACCAUUCGGGAUUCUUCAAUCUGAGUAUAAGUCUCGAUAAAAAAGAUCCACUUUCAUGGGGAUUCUUGAAUGGAAUUGAGAUUAUGGAGUUAAUUGAGAAAUCAUUUGUGGGUGUUGUUGAUUUAAGCAUGGGAGAGGAGAAACAGAGUCCAAAGAUGAUUAUUGUUGGGGUUUGUGUUGGUGGGGUUGUGAUUGUUGGUUUGAUAAUUGGAUUGGCUGUGUUUUGUUUUGUAAGAAAUAGGAAGUUAGGAAAGCAUCGUCCUAUUCUUCUUCCUCAAAAUGAUCCGUCCUCGGAGAAGAUUGUGUCGAUUGCGGAUAUUGCUCCUAAUUUGAACCUUGAACUCAAGAUACCCUUUGGGGUAAUAAAUGAUGCAACUAAUGGAUUUGAAGAUAAGAAAAUGAUUGGUAUUGGAGGAUUUGGAAAGGUUUAUGUUGGGAGAAUUGGAGAGAAGGAUGUGGCUGUGAAGCGAAGUCAACCUGGACAUGGACAGGGUAUCAAGGAGUUUCACACAGAGGUUAUUAUAUUUUCUCAAAUACGACAUCGUUUUCUCGUUUCGUUAUAUGGGUAUGUUCUACCAUUACUCAACUUAACUUUAAAUUUUCUUUCAAGUUUGUUAUGUGUUUUGAUUACUAUGCCACUUUGUUAGUCAUUUGAUUAACGUUUUGAUUUAUGGAUUUAAUUUUCUUUUGUGUUCUACGUAUUUUCAUCAGGUAUUGCGAUGAAAACCAAGAGAUGAUCUUGGUUUAUGAAUACAUGGAGGGAGGAACUUUAAAAGAUUAUUUAUACGGUUCAAAGGCUAAAGAUAAUGUUCCAUUGACAUGGCAAAAAAGGCUUGAAAUUUGCAUCGAUGCAGCGAAAGGUCUUGAUUAUCUACACACUGGCUCCACCGCCACCAUCAUCAUACACCGAGACAUUAAAACCACAAACAUCCUACUCGACAAAGAGUUGAACGCAAAGGUUGCCGAUUUUGGGAUAUCCAAAACUGGAGUUCCCGACGCCAAAGAAUUAGACACUACCAUUAGAGGCACUUAUGGAUAUUUGGAUCCAGAAUACUUCAACACUGGUCAGUUGACAGAAAAAUCUGACGUUUACUCCUUUGGCGUCGUGCUUUUCGAAGUUCUCUCGGCCAGAGCACCAAUCGUUAAGACCGCUCCAAGUGAAGAGACAAACUUAGCUGACUGGGCAGUUCUGUGCAAAAGCAGAGGAGAGAUUGAAAAAGUAAUCGAUCCUUUUCUUAUCGGAACAAUCGAAGCGAACUCGUUGAGAAAGUUCGUGGAAGUUGCAGAGAAGUGUGUGGAUGAAGUUGGGGCGAAUAGGCCUUCCAUGCAUGACGUGGUCUAUGAUUUGGAAUUGGCUUUUCAGUUUCAGUUCACGCCUGUAGGGGAGGGGAAGGCGUAUGAAGGGAUGAGCACCACCAUCGUCGAAGCUCCAUGGGAGAUUGAUUCAGGGAUUCUUGAUCGAAUUCCUUCCAAGGGAAUCGAUGAUUCAGUCAUGCUAGAUGAGGAUAGCACCACUAUGAAUGCUAGAGAAUUGGCCGCUGAGUUCAAGAUUGAUUGUGCCAGAUGAAUUGCUGUCAUGCCAAAGUUUAGAUUAUUGGCUUCUUUUAGAUUCUGCUUUUAGUCAUCAACUAUGUACUUUAUUAUCUCUGUUAAAGUGUAUUGUAUGCAGCUUACACAUUUGGAGGGUCGUUUGAUGGCAAAUUUGAAAUCUUCAUGUUUGUAUAUAUUAAGCAUCUACGGUUAAUUUAGGGGUUGAGAUAGUCUGAAUUUAAACGUGUAUGUGUUUGGAACUUUGAGUUUAAUUAUAAGUUAUAUGUUUGGAGUGCAAGUUUAAGAAAAGUGAUAUUAGUGUAAAUUUAAAGAUGUUAGGUUGGUCUGGUGAUCUUCUAUAUAAACUACCACCGUUUUUGGAAACUCUUUACAACAGUGUUUGGCUUAUUCAAUGUUUUCAAUUUGUUUGGCUUUGUUGUUGAAAUCUCAGUGACUACUAAUACAAUAAUAUUCUAUAUAUAAUUAUUUCAAAAUCAUACUGCAAAUCUUAACUCAUUUUUCAAAUCUUCUCAAAAUUUAACUAUUCCAAAUCUCCGCCAUGCACACUACAAACUUUCACACUAUUUAUAGUAAGUAGGAAAAUAAAUAAAAAAGCAUCAAUAUUAAUAUUAAUACAUGUAAAGUCUUCAAGAAGACAUCAACAAUUUGUCAAUGUGUAUUUGGUUCAUUAAUGCAUCUAACCACAUUUUAGAAAAAUUGCAUCACACAACAAAAAAAAAAACCUUAAAAUAUAGCUGCUCAUAUAAUUUUUUUUUUUUGCCUAUUGUAAAUAUGACAAAUAUAACAAGUAAUUAAAUAUGUUGGAAGCUUAUGAAAAAGCUAUCCACUAUUAAAUUUGCUAUUUUUAUAAUCUAUAAAAUGUAGUAACUAUUACUCUUAAAUUUGCUAUUUUUAUAAUUUAUAAGAUGGAGUAACUAUUUAGGUGGGUAAGUAUAAAUGUAAUUCAUAUACCCACUUAUGUCCAAAUUAAUUUUAAGACAAUGCAGAUAGGAUAAGAGUUUUUGAACCUCUCCAAGCUAAUUUUUAAUCUCUCUUCACAAGUCAAGUUAUAUUCAUGUUGAAAAUAGAUUUGCUAUUUGGAGAGUAUAUAUAAAAGAUAGUUUGCAGAAAAUAAUAACUAAACAAUCAUUUGAUGGAAGUACGAAACUAUGUUUUUGUGAGAACCAACGUUUUACUCUUUUGGUAGAAAUAGAAUAGAAUAACAGUAAUAUAAAAAGUUGUUGGAGAUGGCAUGAGUUAGCUUUAUAUUUUUUCUAACGUAGAGGUGUAUUCAUUAUAUUUGUAUCAAACAAAGUCUUAGCAUCUGGUUUUGAAAACAGUAGAUUUAAUUUUUCUAUCGAAUAUUUUCUUUAUUUGAAAUUAUGCGGCUGAAUUAUAUUUUUCCACACGUUUCCCUUCUUUGAAGAGUGACUGAUCUUUUCUAAUGGGUGUUGUUUUUCUUUAGGUAUUAAAAUGGUUAAAGUAAUUUAUGAACCUUGUUUAGGGUUUCCAAAUGUGGCUAUUGAGCAAGUUGAUUGUGUUCCUCAUGAAAGCCGCAUAUUUGUUCAACGAGAAAGAGUUUCUUCCUGUACGAUGGUUAUUCUGUUCUACAUUUUCUUCCUUGCUUGAUUGCUCACUGUGUAUUCCUUUGUGUAAGUUUCUUCAUUUAAUUGCAACACAUUGAAGAUAAACACAAUUUUGGACCCCUAGGUCCCUAAACCAUUAUGUUGUUGAGAAGGAGAGAUUUUCUCAGUAGAUCACUCAGCCAUAGAGAAGGAGUUUUCUAUCAUAUGGGAAGCCUAAGAAUCAUUCAUGGCGAGAGAGUUCUCUAUCUUACUGUCAAAAAUUAUUUUAGUGAAAUCACUAAUAUUACCAUUCUAGCCUAAGCAUAUAGAAGGUGAGAGGAUCUGAAGCAUACAUACACACACUCGAGAGGGAGUCUCACAUUUAAGGAGAGCCUAGGCGAUGAUCAUUGAAUUAAACUCUACAUAUAAGUCAUCGAUAAGAGUAUUGCAGAUACAUAGUACCCCCAAAAUGUAGUAUAUCGUUGAACAAGGUUACCGACUUUUGUGUCUCCUUUUUUUUUACUCAAUAUUGUGUUUCAAUUGUAUGUGCUUCUCGUUUGACAUCCGCAACUGUGUGACAAGUCACUCUAACGCUUUUUCAAAAGUAAUAAUUAAAAUUAAAUAAAUGUAUAAAUGAUUAAUUGAUGUAUAAGGUUGUAUUCAAAUAUAGUUAUAUGAGUCAACUUAUUUACAAAUAUAGCAAAAUAUAAUUUUAUCUAUAAUUAGUAUCUACUUUAGUGUCUACCACUAAUAAACAGUGACACUUGACUGUAUUUAAAAAUAUUUGUAAUCAUAUAUGUAAAGUGUUGUUAAACACCAGUAUUGUAGAGUGGAUGUUUGUGUGUGAGCCAUUGGCAAAAGUUUAGUUAUAAAACAAAACCAUACAACUAAGCAGGAAGAAAACCAGCUGGGAGAGAGAUUAUAAUAUGCAAUGUUUUGGGUUAUUCAAAUUCAAUCUCCCAUUUCUUUCUAUAAUUCUUUUCUUUAGUUAAUCUCAAGAAUUGGAAAGGGGUGAAGGGUGACUUUUUUAGAACUGCAUGGCUUGAUUGGUUUGGUUGAAAAUUUCCCCCCAGAAACAAAAAAAAUGAAUAGGAGAAACUCUAAGUUGAAUUAUGAGGGUUUUGUUAGAAUUUUUCAAGUUGAGGAUUGACUUCAUUGAAUAACGCUUAGUGUCAAGGUGCAUAUAUACUGUUGACAUGGCCCUGUUUUAACUUUAGGUAGGGUAAUCAGGUAAAGAAAUAUCUUUUUAGGCAUUUUACUAAAGUUGGAAAACGAAAGCAAAGGAAAAGGAAAAGUUAAUUAAAGGUUAUAUUGGUAGCAACUUUUAGGAUAGCAAUGUCCAAUUAAGGUAUUCCUGUGAAGUUAGUGUUUAGUUAGAAAGGGACAGAGACAAGUGGAGCAGCACUACUUGAUUCAUAAAAAGAAGAGAAGUAUAAAGAACUUGGUGGAAAGGAGGCCAUGAAUGGACUAGAUUAGAGAUGAAUAAAAGGGGGAGAAAGGUGAGACUGAAAGAUGAAGACUGUGGGUUGUUAAAGAAAAUUAGUGUCACAGUUCUCUCUUAAAUGAAAAAUUAAUUGUAUUGUUCACUUUUGGUACUUUCAAUUUCUCCAUAAACGUGCUUAGUUACAAAAAGUAGAUGAAAUUUAUAAUAUAUUAAAUAGUGCUACAAACUUUGAAAAUAAUUAUUGGGGCACUGACAAAAAAAAAAAGUUUAAAACAAUUUAUAAUAAUUUAGCUGAUAGUAAACCCAUUUAUUAUUUGUACAAAUUACACAAACAAACAAAGUUCAAACUCAUAAAUAAGUCAUAAAUAUUGGAGGUAAAAUGUCAUAAAUGUCAUUGUUACUAAUAUAUAUCUAGUACACACUUGAUAUUUCUUGAUACAUUUAAUAUAUUUGAUAUACUUCUUGAUGUCUUUGAACCAACUUGAUACACUUGAUCCAAUCGAUACUAUUUGAUGCACCUAAAACACUUUAAUAUAUCUAAUACUCCUUAUUACACUUAGUUCUUCUUGUUACACUUUAGAUUCCUUGGACCUUGAUACAAUUGAUUAGUUUGAUAGAUUUGAAUUCUUCAUUCAUAAAUUUGAUACACUUGAUGCACUGUUGAUAAACUUAUCUUUCUUUUACUAGAAUACUCAACGAAAUUGAUAUACACUUGAUACACAUGGAACUUUUUAUACCCAAUUUACUGCAAAUUGUAACCCCCAGAAAUUAAAGUAAUUUUAAAAUUUAAUUAUUUUAGUUUAAUUUAUUUAUAUUAGAAUUUUUUAGGGUGUUAUUUUAAAUUAUUGGUGAGAUUUGUUUAAUUUUGUGGAAAUUAUGAUUAAUUAAAUAAUUAGUGGAAGAAUAUUUAAUUAAUUGUAUUAUUGUAAAUUUUGGUAAGAUUUAAGAUUUCAGCUAAUUAUAUAUAUGCGUGUGUAUAAUUGGUUUGAUUAUGGAAGAUUAAUAAUAAUUAUGUUAUUGGAAAUAUUAUAAGUGUUUGUUAAGAGAUGAUUUGAUAGAAUUUUAAAUGAGGAGAGAGGAGGAGUUAUUUAUUAUUUUGGAAAAGGAAAAGGAAAAAGAAGUAUUUAAGUGAAAAGGAAAUAAUAAUAAUUAUGAUUAUUAAUAAUAUUAUUAUUUUAUUUUAAAAACACCUAAAAGUGCAUGCACCAUCUUCAACCUUUCUUCUUCCUAAAAAAUCCCUAGUACUGCCACCCCUCUUCACCGUUCGGUUGGUGCUGAUUUUCGUCUCAUCAACGACCGUCGUUGCUCAGUCCUGGCUCGAAUGAAGUUGUUUGUCUCGUUCAAAGCCCAACCAAGUCGCGCGAUAUUUGUCAAAGCCAUGGCGGAACGCAUGCCAACAACUACUACAACAAAAAAAUAUCUAUUACGACAGCUGUGUACAUCCCAAAAUUAAAAGAAGGAAAAAAAGACUGUCACAAAAGCUAAAAAUUUCUGUUUUUGGCGAAAAAAAUAUAAACUUUUUGUAUUUCACUCACCGCGACAGUUAUUUAGUGUCAUACAAGAUAUAAAAAACAAUUUAUUUAAUUUAUUAAAAUAAAAUUCAUUUUAAAUCAAAAAGUUUAUUAAAACCAAAAUUUUCCCUAAUUCUAAAAACAUUAAAUAAUUUAUUUAUUAAAAUAAAACUUAUAAAAUAUCUCCAAACUCUUUCUCCACCUCCUCUUCUCUUCUUCUUCUUCUUUUUUUGUGGAAGACCCACGUGUCAUUCCUCCUUCUCGAUUUUUUUCUCCCUUCUGCUAACCAUCUCUCUCCCUUUCUCACGCACGUCGGAAACGACACGACUUUUCGUCGACGACAUGUCUGAAAUCUCCCUCUUUGUCUCCUUCAAUCGACGCCACCACCCAACACCCCUUGUGCGCUGAACUCGCCGGUGAAUCUCAGUCGUCGCGCGCGGUAGCUAUUUGGAGAUCAAGCCUAUCGUUGUCUAUCUCUAUUCUUCGUUCAUAUUAAACUUCUAGAGUAAGAUUUUUGUGUUUCGGGAUUGUUUUGUUAGGCGAUUUUGAAUACUCGUUAUUUUUAGACUUGAGUUUAACAUUAUCCAUUACUUUUCGACUCCAGUUUUAGAAGCAUUUAAGUCCAUAUCCAGCCUUUCGGAAAGUCGUACUUGGGCAUUUUGGCACAACUUGGGUGAGAUUCUAAACUUUAUUAAGUAGGUCUUGAGUACCUAUUGUGUUUCAACUUGAAUUAAUCAGUACCCAUAAAGUUUGGAUGCUAAAUUGGAGUUCUUGCAAGGCCUUAGCUACUAAUUAGCUGAGAAAGAGUAAAAUUAAGGCUACCUUUAUAAGUGAAUUAGUAAGAAAUUUUGUGAUUUUAGUAAGUUUUGUUAUUACCCGAUUAGUUUCGAUAUGAAAUUUCCAUUACCAUGUUGUUGAUUGGAAGAAUUUAGACUCUAGAGAACUAUGGAGUAUUGUUCACCGCACUUAAGAUCGUUAGUACAAGUGUGAGUAGGCUCUUAAUUAGUGUUAACUCAUUAGUUGUUGAUGGGUUUGUUAAGUGUUAACUCAUUACCUGGUAUUUGAAUUUCAGUUCUUUUUUUGCCCCAAUUUAACUAGUUGAUUGAGUAGAGUGUCUCAUAGAUUGAAUUAUUAUGUCAAUAUCCAUUUUUGUUUAAAUGUUUAUAGACAUAUUAAAGUUAAAAUUUAGUUGUUGACAUACUUUUGAUGAUCAAGUGAAAUAGUUUCUUAAUUUUUCUGUUCUAUGUGAAGGGUGUAUGAAAAAAGAUGGGGACAGUUAGAUAUAUUACAUCUGGGCUUUUCUAGAGAAGUAUUAUAACCUCUUUUCGAGCUUUUAUGAAAAUAUGUAACAUUGAAAAGGUAUCUCAUGGGUAUUUUUUCAAUCUUAUUUUGUUGUGAUCAAUUGAGAUACAUAAUAUGCACUAUAAAUUUGUUAAAGUGUUGGACUUAUCUGUUUUUUUAAUAGGGUUGAAAGAAUGUCAAGGUACGUUUUGUUAAAGCAUAUUUUUAUUUUGAUAAAUUUGAAGUUGUCAAGUAUGUGUAUAAUAAUGAUAAUGUUAAUAUGAGUAAAUUUAUGGCUCUGUAUGACUGUGUGCAUAUUUAAGCUAAUGAUAUUAUGUAUGGAAGACAACUUGCACUAAAAGGCUUAGUAAAUAGUCACAAGGCACCUUUUGAAUUCAGUAGAUAGAAGAAACUAUUGUUGAGAUAAAAUACAAGGAAUAAAGAAAAGUUGUAUGUACUCAGAAUUCAAACUUAUUGGUCAUCAUCUGAUUAUCAUGCUAUAAAUGUUUUGGAUAGGCGAGAAGAGCUAUGAGUAUCAUGCACUAGAGUGACGAAGUUGAAUAUAAAAGAGAAAGACGUGCAAUUUUUCGCAAGGCAUAAUCAUGAUAAAUUAAUUUUCUUCCUUACAUUGUGCCAUUUUGCUUUGACAUUAUAGUAUACUUCUAACUUUAUGUCUCUCCAGCAUAUUUGAGAUGUUUUGCAAAAAAUAGUUAUGCUUGAAGUUGGACAAUAUUAUAUCAUAGUGUAGAAAUGUUUAGAGAUAAGUUAUUCUUAGUUUGUGUUUUGCAUCUGGAUUUUUUACUAAAACUUUGGCUUAUGUGACUUGUGUUUCAAAAGUCUAAGAUAAACUGUAUAGUAUGUACUGUUAAAUUAUUGCACAAUCUGAAUGCUUGAAUUUAUGAGUUAAGGUGAAUUCAACACUACUAUAAAACUCUCCCUCAUUUGUGAAAAUGAAAACUUGUAAAAUACUAAACUAAUACAAUCAAAUUCAUCAUGUGCAAAAUUGUUUCAUCAGUUUUGCAUGAUCAUAGAAAGCUUAUCUUCUGAAGCAUGUUAAUAUGAUUCUUGUACCAAGAUUUUCAAUAUCUUUUAACUCAUGUAGUAUUUUUUUUAUGUGAGAUCUUAAAACCCAUAUAUCCAAAUGCAAUGGGUCUUAAACCCUUUUCUUCCCUUUCUCUAAUCUUAUUUUUUCAGAUUUAGCCUCUUUGUUUACUUGUAAAGUAACAUAUUUAUCUUUAGUCUUUAAAAUGUGUGGAUGAAUUUUUGCCAUGUUUUCGAGUGGAUUACUUUGGUGAGGAGACAUGUUGAUCAAGUUGUAGUGAAUGAUGAAACGAUAUUCCCUCUCUUUAAGAAAUUUUGUAAGAUGCAAAAUAAAGGUUUCAAGUAGUUUGAUUUAAGCUUUGGUUUGGUAGCUAUUUUGUUUUUAAAUUUUUAAAAGUUAACCUAACGAUUGACAUCUUUCUAAAGUUCAAAAGUUGAACUCUUAGUUCAAAACUGUCUAGUACUCCAUGGUAUGCAUCUUUUUUCAUUCCUUUAUUUAUUUAUUUGGAGUUUUAGGUGUAUAUUUUUGUAUCUGAUGAAUUAUUUGGGUUUAUAGUCAAGAGGGUGUGUUUAGAUUUUAUUGUUUGAACUUGUUGAGUGAAGAAAUUGAUUGUUUGGUAUGCAUGAUCCUUGUUUUAGUAAAAAAAGGUAUUUUCAGGGAUGCUUUUGGAUGGUGAAGUUUAUUUUUUUUGGGAACCGUUGUUCUUUAAUUGAGUUGUUUAAUUGAAUUUAGUUCUUUGAGGAAACUUUAAGACGCUUUUUGUCCAUGUGUUUUAAGUAUUUUUUUUUGGUUAACUUGUAGUCUUUUACAUUUUCCCCACUUCUUGAUUUAUUGUUCUUGAUGGUUUAUUCACUUGUUUUCACAAAGUUUGCUCAAUUGGAGUUGCAAUGAAGAUCAAGAUUCAAUCGGAGCCAUUUUUUGGUUUUUAGACUACUUUAAUUUUAAUUUUAGUUGUCUUUCUCAGCAUGGUUGUCAUUUCCAUAACUGACUCUAACUUGUUACUUCCCUGCACAUAGAAAUAGGUUCAGAAUCUUAUUUAUGUAAGAUAUUUAUUAAGAUAAACCUUUAGCCAUGGAGAACAAAAGUAUAGAACUCUUAGUACUAGAAAUUUUCUUGCUUAUGUAAAAU